RNAcentral lists this ribosomal RNA (206 nucleotides) under uncultured bacterium. RNAcentral's name for it is "partial 16S ribosomal RNA". It matches the Rfam family "Bacterial small subunit ribosomal RNA", at positions 568 to 774 of the family's 1533-position model. The record is from RNAcentral.
CAUGUAGGCGGCUUAAUAAGUCGAGCGUGAAAAUGCGGGGCUCAACCCCGUAUGGCGCUGGAAACUGUUAGGCUUGAGUGCAGGAGAGGAAAGGGGAAUUCCCAGUGUAGCGGUGAAAUGCGUAGAUAUUGGGAGGAACACCAGUGGCGAAGGCGGUCUACUGGGCACCAACUGACGCUGAGGCUCGAAAGCAUGGGUAGCAAACA